RNAcentral lists this ribosomal RNA (457 nucleotides) under uncultured Streptococcus sp. RNAcentral's name for it is "partial 16S ribosomal RNA". It matches the Rfam family "Bacterial small subunit ribosomal RNA", at positions 342 to 792 of the family's 1533-position model. Lineage: Bacteria; Bacillati; Bacillota; Bacilli; Lactobacillales; Streptococcaceae. The record is from RNAcentral.
AGGGUGGCAGCAGUAGGGAAUCUUCGGCAAUGGGGGCAACCCUGACCGAGCAACGCCGCGUGAGUGAAGAAGGUUUCGGAUCGUAAAGCUCUGUUGUAAGUCAAGAACGGGUGUGAGAGUGGAAAGUUCACACUGUGACGGUAGCUUACCAGAAAGGGACGGCUAACUACGUGCCAGCAGCCGCGGUAAUACGUAGGUCCCGAGCGUUGUCCGGAUUUAUUGGGCGUAAAGCGAGCGCAGGCGGUUUGAUAAGGCUGAAGUUAAAGGCUGUGGCUCAACCAUAGUUCGCUUUGGAAACUGUCAAACUUGAGUGCAGAAGGGGAGGGUGGAACUCCAUGUGUAGCGGUGAAAUGCGUAGAUAUAUGGAGGAACACCGGUGGCGAAAGCGGCUCUCUGGUCUGUAACUGACGCUGAGGCUCGAAAGCGUGGGGAGCAAACAGGAUUAGAUACCCUGGUA